This 67-nucleotide ribosomal RNA is filed under the name Anthicus antherinus. RNAcentral describes it as "partial 28S ribosomal RNA". It matches the Rfam family "Eukaryotic large subunit ribosomal RNA", at positions 1 to 65 of the family's 3401-position model. The record is from RNAcentral. Lineage: Eukaryota; Metazoa; Arthropoda; Insecta; Coleoptera; Anthicidae.
UGCGACCUCAGGUUAGGUGAGAGUACCCGCUGAAUUUAAGCAUAUUAAUAAGCGGAGGAAAAGAACU